AACGAACGCUGGCGGCAUGCCUAACACAUGCAAGUCGAACGAGACCUCCGGGACUAGUGGCGCAUGGGUGCGUAACGCGUCGGAACCUGCCCUUAGGCUCGGAAUAAUUCCUUGAAAGGGGUGCUAAUACCGGAUAAUGUCCUCGGACCAAAGAUUGAUCGCCUUUGGAUGGGCACGCGUUGGUCUAGCUAGUUGGUAGGGUAAAAGCCUAUCAAGGCGAGGAUCCAUAGCUGGUCUGAGAGAAUGAUCAGCCACACUGGGGGGAAGACACGGCGCAGACUCCUACGGGAGGGAGGAGAGGGUAAUAUAGGACAAUGGGCGAAGGCCUGAACCAGCUAUGCCGGGUAAGUGAUGAUGUCGGUAGAGAUGUGAAGCUCUUUUACCCGGGACGGUAAUGACGGUACCGGGAGAAUAAGCACCGGCUAACUCCGUG
This 433-nucleotide ribosomal RNA is filed under the name uncultured bacterium. Its description in RNAcentral is "partial 16S ribosomal RNA". It matches the Rfam family "Bacterial small subunit ribosomal RNA", at positions 29 to 507 of the family's 1533-position model. The record is from RNAcentral.